CAGAAAUGUCCCAAAAGUGCAAACCCCACCCUCCUGGUACUCUAGGCAAGCUUAAGCAUAAACUGAAAAUAUUUGAACGAUUUCAAAUGGCAUUUGAACCCAGGUCUGGCUCUGAGCCUAACAGCUAUUAUGGCCAGAUGCCAGUCAUAGUAACAGAGAAUCUGUAGCAUUUGUGAGUCAGUCUCCAGCCACGUUUGACUCUCCGUAAACACAUUGUGAUUUAAGAGCUAAAAUGGCCCACGCUCUCUCUAGCCAGUUGUGUGUGAACUGAGCAAACGUUUGUUGUUCUAUCUAAUAAGCUGUCACAGUGACACACACACGACCAAACACUAUCAUGGUCGACUCAACAGAAGGUUCAUUUUCGGAGUCAAGCAGCAUCGGUAGUAUUAUUGAGAGUUGUGAACACAGAAAAAGUGUUGGAGUUGUAUCUUUCCAGUGAUAGUGACCAUCUUCAUACGAAACCUUCAGGGCUAUGUCCUACACUGUCACACUACCAGCCCACCUCAAGUUUCUUUCUCUCCUUCUGUAGCCACUUUCACAAAGAGACAGGUUGUAGCUCAUCAGGAUGCAUGGCUCAAUUAGGCCUCUUUAGCCCUUCCAUACUGUCCAGUUCUGUGACCCAUCCACAUAUAGGUAACUGCCACAUCCACAUACAGGUAACUGACCCAUCCCCAUACAGGUAACUGCCACAUCCACAUACAGGUAACUGACCCAUCCACAUACAGGUAACUGACCCAUCCACAUACAGGUAACUGACCCAUCCACAUACAGGUAACUGACCCAUCCACAUACAGGUAACUGACACAUCCACAUACAGGUAACUGACACAUCCAUAUACAGGUAACUGACCCAUCCACAUACAGGUAACUGACCCAUCCACAUACAGGUAACUGACCCAUCCACAUACAGGUAACUGACACAUCCACAUACAGGUAACUGACACAUCCAUAUACAGGUAACUGACCCAUCCACAUACAGGUAACUGACACAUCCACAUACAGGUAACUGACUCAUCCACAUACAGGUAACUGACUCAUCCACAUACAGGUAACUGACCCAUCCCCAUACAGGUAACUGACUCAUCCACAUACAGGUAACUGACUCAUCCCCAUACAGGUAACUGACCCAUCCACAUACAGGUAACUGACUCAUCUCCAUACAGGUAACUGACUCAUCCACAUACAGGUAACUGACUCAUCCCCAUACAGGUAACUGACACAUCCCCAUACAGGUAACUGACCCAUCCACAUACAGGUAACUGACACAUCCACAUACAGGUAACUGCGACAUCCACAUACAGGUAACUGACACAUCCACAUACAGGUAACUGACCCAUCCACAUACAGGUAACUGACCCAUCCACAUACAGGUAACUGCCAUAUCCACAUACAGGUAACUGCCACAUCCACAUACAGGUAACUGACCCAUCCACAUACAGGUAACUGCCACGUCCACAUACAGGUAACUGACACAUCCAUAUACAGGUAACUGACCCAUCCACAUACAGGUAACUGACCCAUCCACAUACAGGUAACUGCCACAUCCCCAUACAGGUAACUGACCCAUCCACAUACAGGUAACUGACACAUCCACAUACAGGUAACUGACCCAUCCACAUACAGGUAACUGACACAUCCACAUACAGGUAACUGACACAUCCAUAUACAGGUAACUGACCCAUCCACAUACAGGUAACUGACCCAUCCACAUACAGGUAACUGCCAUAUCCACAUACAGGUAACUGCCACAUCCACAUACAGGUAACUGACCCAUCCACAUACAGGUAACUGCCACGUCCACAUACAGGUAACUGACACAUCCAUAUACAGGUAACUGACCCAUCCACAUACAGGUAACUGACCCAUCCACAUACAGGUAACUGCCACAUCCCCAUACAGGUAACUGCCACAUCCACAUACAGGUAACUGCGACAUCCACAUACAGGUAACUGACACAUCCCCAUACAGGUAACUGACCCAUCCACAUACAGGUAACUGACACAUCCACAUACAGGUAACUGACACAUCCACAUACAGGUAACUGACACAUCCACAUACAGGUAACUGCCAUAUCCACAUACAGGUAACUGCCACAACAAUGGAAACAUAAAGUGUCUUAACAGGGCUUUGGGCCUCAUAUCUCUACAUUCUUACGUCUGGUCCCAGAUCUGUAGCAGCACAAACAGGACUGUGACAAGGCUUUGUAUAUUUGCAUGGGCAGAACAGUGUUUGUUAACAGCAGAGCAAAAGAGGAAGUUAGAGCUAGGCUUUUCUCAUGCCAGUUCAUCUCCAGUGUGUACGUAUCACAUGCCUCUCUUGGGUUGGUUAAUCAGCGGUCGUGUUGUGUUUGCUCUGUUCGGAAUACAAGCGGGGCAAGACUGAUUCGUGAUUCGUUUGGUUUGGAUAGGGAGAUCAGCAUAGACAAAUGGUUCUCUCAGAGGAGACUGUUUAUGGCAAUCAACAGAGUGCAACACACACACGUAUGUUGUGUAGAGGGAAGGAAGGAGCGAACACAUUCUCUUUCGCACGCACGCACACACACACACACACACACACACACACACACACACACACACACACACACACACACACACACACACACACACACACACACACACACACACACACACACACACACACACACACACACAUUAUUGGCCUUGAGUGGUGUUACUUCAGGGACCAACAGAUAAGACUAAGGGCAUGUUUUGGUACCAUGAAUGGUUUUAAGGAUAAACAGUUGAAUGCUGUCCAUCCCAGGGGAGCGUCAUCCUCAGUCAUGCGCCGGCCCGGUUUGUUGUUUUUAAAACAUCUCUGAGGUCAUCUGAGACAUCUGGCUUGUUUUUCCAGCAAACUACUUAGUCCUGGGGCUGUUUUUCCCAUGGUUCCCUUUCCAGGACAUGCAAACACAACAGAUAGUGUCUCCCAUUGAGGCAGUCUCACUGGACCUGCAUGGGAGACAGUGAUUUGCAUGCAUGGAGAAAAACUGUCACUUUGCAAGGCGGCCAUUUUUUAUCAGUGGCCCAGGGUUCAUGCAAAGGUAGGCUUUUUCUUAGCACACCGUUUUUGUGUUA
This 3073-nucleotide long non-coding RNA is filed under the name Salmo salar (Atlantic salmon). RNAcentral describes it as "lncRNA (ENSSSAG00000087888.1)". Lineage: Eukaryota; Metazoa; Chordata; Actinopteri; Salmoniformes; Salmonidae. The record is from RNAcentral.